AGACACACUGCGAAAUAUCUUGUGUCAGACACGCAACGACACAUCGUGUGUCAGACACACGCGGGGACAACUCUAGUGUCAGACACUCAACGACAGCUCUUGGGAAGUUUUUGCUCGCUGCUCUGUUUUGACCUAGGACAGGUUAGAAGUUCACGUUUAAUUUUCACGACAUUGUUCUCCUCCCUGCACGCCCCUCAUCCACCCUGCCGCUACUCCCAUACGUGCGCGUGCAUGCGUGCGUGCACGCCAUCGCGCUGCAAAGCCCUUGCGCAUGAAAAUGCACGCAGCCCUCCCCUCCCUCCCUCCCUGCCCUCCCCACCCACCCCCCGCUCCUCCACGCCCCUCCCGAAGCUUGGCUACACACAGGACACCGCCAUGCGUCUGCACGGAGCUACAUGAACCGCAUGGCGACACGGUUAUAAAUAGAUCUUUUAGCUCUACAAAACAAGCGGGUCCUGUUGAUCGCCUCGCUCUUCUGCUUCUUCAACCUCUCCCCCUCCUCCCUUCGACCCCCCCGAACCCCAUCCUUCGUGCACUCUAACCAGCCAUCCACUUUUAGAGAGGUGGGUGGCUCACUGUGGCUAAUCAUCACGAUGUAAUUUCUCCACAACAAACGGUGGCCAUGUUGAUGGUGGAAGAUGUCAGACAAGGUAUAUGAGAGAUUAUUGCGAUCUGUAUUUCACCAGGAGUGAGGGAAGGAGAGAGAGAACGCCAUGGCAGUGGCUUCCAACGUUCGCUGAACUCUCGUGUCUCGUGCUAAAUCUGACGGGCCGCGAGCAGAGUGGCGCGUUGGCGUCAGGCGCGAGGUUUGGGUCACUGUGAUCUAGCUUUGACCGUAGACGUUGGGUCACGGAUGAAAUAAGAGGCAAGACAAACUACGUUCCGCGGACAGAGAGGACUACAUCUGACGUAACAGCGACGACGGAAGCCGAUGUGGGAACCUUCUGGGAAGCUCCGACUCCUUUACAACGAGUGGUUUCUUGUGUCAACACCCGGAAUAAGUCAGAUGAGAUGAAAAGAAGAAAAAGAAGGAGAGAAAAAAAAAAUUCGCUUCCCAGAUGAACAAGCGUGUGUGUGAGCAUUAAUUUUCAUACAGCUCUCUCUACAGCACGUGUUCUCUGCGUGCACGCGCGCGCGUGUGCGUGUUGUGUGUGUUGCAGCAUCAACAUCCUCCGAGCUUUAAUAAAAUGUGUUUGCAGGAAGGAGAUGCGAUCAUUCAGUUGCUGGCUUGUCGCCACUGGAGAGCCGACAGACUUACAAAGUUGUUCAUGUGGUGGUGAAGGACGUGACGAGGAAGGGGGAGGAGUUCGGGGGGCUCGGGGGUUCGGGGGAGUGUGUGAUGGUAUGGUGUUGUCAAGCCGAGGGCGUUGACGCAGUGCAUGGCAACAACACGCAGUGUUUCAGAGAAAAAUGUGCAAGCCAGCAAAGCUCGUGUCGGGUGUGCAGGUGACGACUGACAUGGAUCAACCUUCCUGAUUGGGGUGCGGCAACCUCGAUCCCUUCGCUGGGUUUAUCAUGAAUGUCGUCGAUUCACUGUGUGGGGAAAAGUGACAGAAAAGUGUGAAAAAAAAAUUAAUUCGUGAGAAUCACCAGCUCUUGGAAUAAAGCGGAGGAGGUGAAGGAAGCAACUAUUCUCUUUCUGCGUGUGUUUACUUUCCUCCCACCCGAGAUCAACAGGCAUCCUACUACACAUUUCUCUCCCCCACCACCACCAUCAUCACCAUCACCACCACCAAACUCCCCUCAACCACCAGCAUGAUCAAGAAACACUCCCAUCUCGGACGACAACAACAACAACGAUGUGACAACGAGAUCCAGCGACGUCACCAGCUGUUGCUGUGACAGUAGCACCGAGCGACCCUGCGAUGAGGACAGUGAGAUGCCAAGGUGUUGGUCUCCUGUCAUGACAGUUAGUCGUGUUUACAGAAUUUUUUUUAUUAUAUCUAAUUCUCCAGAUAAGCACUCGGACCCACCCAAAUUUGUAAAUAAAUAAAAGUAAAACCGACCGACAGCUGAGGUUUGCUUCAAGAAGACUUGAGGGAGGAUGCCCUCCUCUUAUCGCCCUCGCGAUGGAGAGUGCCAACAGUGACCAAUUAGAGACAUGACAGCUGGAGGAUCGUGGCAGUCAACCUUCUUCAGGAUGCAACCGUUGCGCAGGAAUUCUAACGGUGCUUGGGUUUAAAAAAAAUCUUUGAAUUCUCUGUGAUCUUUUAAUUUUCUUGCACAAGGAUUUUUUUUUUUGAGAAGGAGGAAUUUAUGAGGAAGGUGGCUAGAGAUGAUUCUAACUUUCAUGUGAGAGGGACUGAGAAAAUUGACUUGAAGAAGGAUGGAUAAAGAAGGAAAAUUCCUGGAGGAAAAGGAGCGGAGGAUGUUGGUGAGAGGUGGGGAGGUGGAGUCGACACGACCGAUGUGAAUGGGCGAGUGGAGUGGGUCUUGACUCCGCAGGCUGUGAGGGUGGGUAUGUUGACAGGUGAGAUUACUGACCUGGACACCCGCCGCCACGAGGUUAGUCCACAUCGCAACUGCAGUCAGGCAGGUCACCGCGGGGUCAGGCAAGGACAGUCUCCCCCCUCAACACACUCCUGCUCUCCUAACCUUUUUUCUUUCCUGGCGGCUGUGGAAGGAGUGAGUUCGCUGGUUAGGAGGGUAUGACCCAACUCUCUCUCUCUUCCCCUCCCUCUCUCUCUCUCCGCACUGUCGCCGCUAGGGGAAGUAACAAGGAUCUGGAUAAAAUCCUGUAAUCCAUCCCUUUCUCUACAAUAUUUUGGUGUAGGGUAAAAUUUAUAUUUUUAAAAAUUAAAAUAAUGGCAAAUGCACUAUUUCAUUAAAGAUUUAACCAACAUCAUUUCUGCGAAAUAUUAAUUUAAUAAAGAUUAUAUAUUAGAAACUUACAGUUUAAAUGAAGUUUCAAAAUUUGUUAUAGGUUACAACAAGUUUUUAAAUCUUUUAUUCUCUGCCCUGUAAUAAUAACAACAAUAAGGAAGGAAAAGGGAAAGGGACAGCAAUAACUUUUGUGAGAAAGGUAAAUAUGAAUCGUUUGAAGAAUAAAUAAAUAAAAAUCCCGAGGAGCAGAAGGACGAAUGACGCAAGCAGUUUUACUUAUGGCAGCAAAAGUCUAAAAAUAUCGCAGUUGUAAAAGUUUGACGAGGAGGAGCCGAGACCACCUAGGGUAGUGGUGAGAGCGGGGGUGGUGUGUUGUGGUGGAGGUAGUGGUGGUGGUGGUGGGUACGUCAAGGCCACACGUCAUCUGGCACAACCCAGCAGGAGGCGCGCGCGUCUAUUCCUGUCUUUAUAACUACGCAUUUGACGAGGACAGAGGAACAGAAGGAAAAAAAAAAAAAAAGGAAAAACAAAAGUUAUGCAAGUUAUGAAUAUUCAUGGAGGCAGCAGUUAUAGAACAGCUGUAAAGCAGGGGCCAGAUCAGUGUGGGAAAAAUCAUGAUGAAAAAGCUGCUGGAGAGGACAGUUGAUGUGUAGGUGUGCUUUUUUUUUUCUUUUUUUAUACGGCCGUGCCGAACAGGUGAUGGAUGAACACCUGUGGAUUAAUACCUGGCCUCCAGAACUGUUUCACAUUCGUGUUACGGUCGCGCCUCGCGGGCACAAAAAGUGACUCACAGGAUUACCUCACAGACUGACUGCACCUACCCAGGGUAACUCCACCAACUGACAGAAUUACACUCACCCAUUGCUGGAUGCCAUCGACUGAAGAGGAGUCCUGUUUGUCCACAGUGAGGUGCCCUCCUCUCCUACCUGUAUCUUGUCCACGCCAUGAAAGUCCUGUCCAGGUGUGUCGAGGGCGAGUCGAAGAGGGUCAGAAGAACUAAGGGAUGAAACAACAGAAAACUUUAUAUCAAGACCAGUCUCCCUCAGCCAAACCUGUAUUCGACAACAGGGAGAUAACGAUUGUCGAAAUCCGUCUGCUAGCAGUUCCACCGAUGUGGUGUUGAUGCAAUUCUGAAGGACAAGAGAAAACUCAAAGGCUUUGACAGGGAACAAAGAUACGAAGUCUCGUCAUUGUGAGUCCAAUGUCUCAUGUAAUGAGAUAUCUCCGCCAUUGUUUUCCGUACCAUCUGUCACUCAGAGACCAAAGAUAGACCGAGUGGAGAUAUAUAUUAAAGACUUCUGAACCAUAUAUAACCUUGAAGUCAUCGUCAGUGAGGACAUCAACGGUCUCAGGUAUCUACACCACCAUUUUCACUCAUUUUCAACCCCUAUCCACGACUUCUAUCAUGUGUUGAUGACAGAAAACUUAAAGAACAUUCCCCAAAAAAACCUUAACCGGUGGCGGUGUUGAUAACAAUUUAUUUAUAAUCCUUUUGUCCCUCACGAUUAAAGCUUCAGGAUGAGGAAAGCCAGUAAAAAGAAUAAACCUGUAUCAAGUUUCGCCAUCAUGGGACUUUGAAUUUCAAAGGAAUCACGAGGAGCGCUGCAACUUGAGGUGAGGAGACAAUCAAAGUAAAAUUCUAGAACUAAUAGGGAUCUCACAGAAUCAGAUGUCUGUUCUACCAUUUGACAUGUGAUUUCGAUUGGAAAUUUAAUCAUGUCUCCGAAAACAAAAUGGGAAAGAAACCAUUCAUACUUUCUUUCUAAAAACAAAUGGCAACAGUAACUCUUUUAUUUGUAAUAUUGGGUGGUGGACGAACCAUCAUUUUCUCAACUGUCAGUAAUUAUCAUACAAAUAGGUUCAACUGUGUUAAGAAAACGAGAUGUACCUUACAUAGAGAUAAAUCUUACACUAUUUAUGCUGGACCUUUCUUUAUUUUGUGCGCAUGCGUGUGUGUGUGUGUGGGAAGAAAAAUAGUGUCAAGAUGAAAAGUAUACUCACAUCUAUACGCCAAGAUGGCGGCUAGUAUGGAAGGAUGGCGCCUGCUGGAGAUGAGUGCCAAGGCAAAGAUAUGGCCAUAAAGAAAUAGUUCUGUGAGCAACCUUCUAGGGUCCUAAAUUAUGUCGCGCAGCGACUCCACACCCCCCACGUGUUAAUCACGUGCUCCACUGGCUCAGCAGCGAUUGGUGGAUUCGCGAUUUAGAAGACGAAAACGGUUGGGAGGACGUGGCAACGGGAAGAGAGCGUGUCUUUUGUGGUGCCACGGGUAAUGACCAAUAGAAUGACAGCCAGAUCCCAAAAUUGCCAACUGUUAAAACUCUUCCAUUUGCGUUGUCUGCCCUCCAUCAGGGCCGUAGGAUUUCGUUACAUCAAUUUUUUUUCGAGAAAUAAAGCAGCUUAAAGAAUUAAAGUCGCGGUUUAUAGCAGGGAUUGGCAAAAUUUUCUGUUUGCGAGCCAGUCUCAAUAAUAUAUGAACACAUAAAGGCCGAAUAAGAAAAAAUGAAAGCAGGUGAACUUCACAUUUUGUCAGAGGAGUCGGUCCAAAGACAUGUCUGGGUUUUAGUUUGCCCACCCCUGUCUUAGAACCACAGUUGUCUGUAUUCAUACCAUAGACAUUUAAAUUAGCAGAAGCAACAAAAUCCAAAGUCCUUUUGGACUAGCUCAAGAAAAUUUCAAUGACAAGAAAAUAUUCAGGAAAUAAUACAAGCGCGAUUCUUUUGUUUUUGGAUACCUUGAUUUAAUAAUAAUAGCAAUGAAUAGUUUUAAACCCAGCAUGAUAAUUAUGUUGUUUGACAGAAUUAUACUGGAAACACUUCAGUAUGUGGUCGUGUCCUGGUGGUCAAUAUGAAGGCUUGAGCAAUCACAAAAUCUUCGUUGGGAAGGUGGCGAACGAGGUUUAUCUACAUGGGACCAUGGCCACCUAUCAACCUUUUCUAUGCUCGAUCCAUCGGCUGCUUUUGACACUUUGGACCAUCACAAUCUUCCCAGAGACUUCAUACGACCUUUGACCUCUACCGCACAGCUCUUGGUUGGUUGCACUUCUGUCUGUCUGCUGGCACCCAGUCUGUUGGUCUCCUCGCCUUGACAUCCAAACCUGCUUCAGUUCAACUCGGAGAGCCUCAUGAUUCAGUCCAGGACCUGUCUUGUUUACUACCCUUUGUCCAGCCACUUGGUCCUGUGAUUGGCCACUAUGGUUUGUAAUACCACGUGUAUGUCGACAAUACUCAGCUCCUGACUCUGACCCAGCUUGCCAACUCCACCGAAUGUCCACCAGCACUCAGCAAACUCUUCAUUCUGUCAAACACUGGAUGUGAUGAAAUCUCAGAACUAUGGUGUUCGCAUUGUAUUAUGCAAGCAAAAGGUUGAUCAUGUCACACCACCCUCGCACUGGGUGGCAUUUCAGGUUUGCAUUCAGUUCAAGAUCCCAUAAUUUGUUAUCAUCUAGUUCACAGCCUCGUCUCAACCUGUCUCACCUUGCAAUCAGUUUUACCUGUUGCUUUGUCUACCUUCUCCUAGUCUGCGUUCCUUCUUGUUCUAAAGUACACAGCAAUGUCGACGAUCAUAUUUUAUUUUUUUAAUUAUGUGAGCCAACAAGGUCGAUGAACGCUACGCGUGUCGACGUCAAACCGGAAGUGGGUUAUCCUCGGACUGGGGGGGAAGGUCACAUGCAUGAAUAAUUCUCCCAAAUCGUCCAUAUAGGCCGCGGGCACCCGACAAGAAGCAAACCUGUCUGUCCCGACAUGUACUCGUAUGUGUCCUGUCUAUCCUUACUCGUCCCUCAAAAUGUGUUGUUAAUAUUUAUCCACUUAAUAUAAAUUUAUGUUGUUGUGACAAUAGCUGCUAAACUCACUGAAAUCUUCGAUUACCAAGGGUGGUCGGGUUAAAUGACUUUGUGGGCUGUAUACACCUGCGAGCCAGACAUUCCCCACCCGUGAUAUAAAGGAUGGAGUGGUAGAUGUGACAGUGGUGAAUAAAACCUACCUGUGAAGUAAACAGACCUGAUGUCAAGCUUUGUGAGUGAAAAAGAUAUUGAAUCACUAUGUCUCCCUGUAAAUAGUCUUAGAGCCAAGCUUAGAGGUGUGUGAUGUCUCAGGGUGAUUAUUAAUAAUAAAUAAUAAACAUCA
This is a long non-coding RNA of Pomacea canaliculata, 6947 nucleotides long. RefSeq lists it as uncharacterized. The transcript is spliced from 6 exons. NCBI's taxonomy places the organism in Eukaryota, Metazoa, Mollusca, Gastropoda, Architaenioglossa, Ampullariidae. The record is from RefSeq and is a predicted model, not a curated record.